RNAcentral lists this transfer RNA (83 nucleotides) under Candidatus Moraniibacteriota bacterium. Its description in RNAcentral is "tRNA-Leu". It matches the Rfam family "tRNA". From Rfam's summary of the family: Transfer RNA (tRNA) molecules are approximately 80 nucleotides in length. The record is from RNAcentral. Lineage: Bacteria; Candidatus Moraniibacteriota.
GCCGAGGUGGCGGAAUGGUAGACGCACUAGCUUCAGGUGCUAGCGCUCGCAAGGGCAUGGGGGUUCGAGUCCCCCCCUCGGCA